This 429-nucleotide ribosomal RNA is filed under the name Chloroflexota bacterium. RNAcentral's name for it is "Chloroflexi bacterium partial 16S ribosomal RNA". It matches the Rfam family "Bacterial small subunit ribosomal RNA", at positions 355 to 776 of the family's 1533-position model. The record is from RNAcentral. Lineage: Bacteria; Bacillati; Chloroflexota.
UGGGGAAUAUUGCACAAUGGGCGCAAGCCUGAUGCAGCCAUGCCGCGUGUAUGAAGAAGGCCUUCGGGUUGUAAAGUACUUUCAGUCGGGAGGAAGGUGGUAAGGUUAAUAACCUUAUCAAUUGACGUUACCGACAGAAGAAGCACCGGCUAACUCCGUGCCAGCAGCCGCGGUAAUACGGAGGGUGCAAGCGUUAAUCGGAAUUACUGGGCGUAAAGCGUACGCAGGCGGUUGAUUGAGUCAGAUGUGAAAUCCCCGGGCUUAACCCGGGAAUUGCAUCUGAUACUGGUCAGCUAGAGUCUUGUAGAGGGGGGUAGAAUUCCAUGUGUAGCGGUGAAAUGCGUAGAGAUGUGGAGGAAUACCGGUGGCGAAGGCGGCCCCCUGGGCAAAGACUGACGCUCAGGUGCGAAAGCGUGGGGAGCAAACAGG